RNAcentral lists this ribosomal RNA (197 nucleotides) under uncultured bacterium. Its description in RNAcentral is "partial 16S ribosomal RNA". It matches the Rfam family "Bacterial small subunit ribosomal RNA", at positions 335 to 526 of the family's 1533-position model. The record is from RNAcentral.
CUCCUACCGGGAGGCAGCAGUGGGAAGUUUGCGCAAUGGGCGAAAGCCUGACGCAGCAACGCCGCGUGUGUGAUGAAGGUCUUCGGAUCGUAAAGCACUUUCGACCGGGAAGAAACGCUGUUGGCUAACAUCCAGCAGUCUGACGGUACCGGGAGAAGAAGCACCGGCUAACUCUGUGCCAGCAGCCGCGGUAAUUC